RNAcentral lists this long non-coding RNA (281 nucleotides) under Phoenix dactylifera (date palm). RNAcentral describes it as "long non-coding RNA (PDAC_LNC014556)". Lineage: Eukaryota; Viridiplantae; Streptophyta; Magnoliopsida; Arecales; Arecaceae. The record is from RNAcentral.
UGAGGAUGAUAGUGUUAUUUUGAUGAUUAACAAGCAAUUAUCUAGAGUAUAUUAUAAGUUAAAUUGAUACUUCAUUUAUAAGUUCAUUACUUUCAGUAUAUUUGUAUGAAUUGAUAUAGAUACAUGUCUUUGUUUAUUUGAAUGAAUCUAACCUUGAGAUGCAGCAAAGUGUAGAUUAAGUCGACCCAAAGGAUGAUUGGGUCGACCCCGGCACAUCAAGAAGUCAUUUGGCACACUUCUGCAAAAUUGGAACAGAUGAACAGUGAGUUGGGUCGACCCAA